Molecule: long non-coding RNA, 681 nt
Filed under: Felis catus (domestic cat)
Lineage: Eukaryota; Metazoa; Chordata; Mammalia; Carnivora; Felidae
Description: lncRNA (ENSFCAG00000051881.1)
Source: RNAcentral
AACUUCAGAGUAGAGUUGAAUGAUUUUCACAAAGAAGCAGAUUAUGUAUUGUUGGAAAGUCCAUGUUUAUCUCAUCUGACACAGCAAAUAAAGGAGAAAUCAUAGCAAUAACAGGACAAAAAAAGAGAAUCUAAUCAUGGAUUAUCUGACCAUUGAAGCUGAGGAAGAAGUCCUUCCAGCCAUUACUACCGAGGAUGCUUCUCUGCCCCAAAAACAGAACAUGGAAGAAAUGGAACCUACUGUUGAGCUCCUUCCUGUUGAGUUCCAGGAAUUGGUGACAGUCAAGGAUGAGGAAAUGGACUUCAGUCAUGUGGAGGAAGAAGAGCUGAAUUCUGCCCAAAGGUACAUGGGCAUUGAUAUGAAAGUGGAGAAUUGUGGGAGCCUGGUAUUUUGGGAUUCCGAAUCUACACCUGAAACUAAAGAAUCUUUUUCAAAGCAAGAACUUUAUGAAGAAGUGUCCUCCGAAAGAGAGCUGAUAAUAGAAAGACUUAAAAAGGUUGAGGCCUGGGACUCCAGACUGAUAGAAGCCUGGCAAUGUGAAGGCACAUUAGAAAGGCAGCAAGGAAACCAGAAGAAAGAUUUAAGGCAAGCCACAAUUAAACACAACAAAACCACUGUGGAGGAUUGUAAUGAAAUUGCGGAAAGUUCAAACCCAAUCAAACAUCGAAAUAUUUACUCAGU